This 28-nucleotide small RNA is filed under the name Bombyx mori (domestic silkworm). RNAcentral describes it as "ovarian small RNA-7118". Lineage: Eukaryota; Metazoa; Arthropoda; Insecta; Lepidoptera; Bombycidae. The record is from RNAcentral.
UCAUUUCAGCAACUUGAAUGGUAUGUAC